GAUGAACGCUAGCGACAGGCCUAACACAUGCAAGUCGAGGGGUAACAGGGAAGCUUGCUUCCGCUGACGACCGGCGCACGGGUGCGUAACGCGUAUGAAACCUACCUUAUACUGGGGGAUAGCCCGAAGAAAUUCGGAUUAAUACCCCAUAAUAUAGUUGAUUGGCAUCGAUUAGCUAUUAAAACUCCGGUGGUAUAAGAUGGUCAUGCGUGACAUUAGCUAGUUGGUGAGGUAACGGCUCACCAAGGCAACGAUGUCUAGGGGUUCUGAGAGGAAGGUCCCCCACACUGGUACUGAGACACGGACCAG
Molecule: ribosomal RNA, 309 nt
Filed under: uncultured bacterium
Lineage: Bacteria
Description: bacterial SSU rRNA
Rfam family: Bacterial small subunit ribosomal RNA
Source: RNAcentral